RNAcentral lists this ribosomal RNA (200 nucleotides) under uncultured eukaryote. RNAcentral's name for it is "partial 18S ribosomal RNA". It matches the Rfam family "Eukaryotic small subunit ribosomal RNA", at positions 588 to 790 of the family's 1831-position model. The record is from RNAcentral.
GCUCCAAUAGCGUAUAUUAAAGUUGUUGCAGUUAAAAAGCUCGUAGUUGAAUUGGGCCUAGUGAGGUGGUCUAGCUUUACGGUUAGUACUGCUUUCGCUGGGUCUUUCCUUCUGGCUAACUAGUGUGCUCUUAAUUGGGUGCGCUAGGGAUCCAGGACUUUUUACUGUGAAAAAAUUAGAGUGUUUAAAGCAGGCUUACG